GAAUUCCAUGACCCAGUUUACAGUAAAUUGGAAGUAGACAGAAGGUGUAUUAGUCUGACCACAAAGAUGGAAAAGAAAAUCUAUCAAAAAAGAGACAGACUACUCAGUCAGAUAAUGAGGCCCUUCAAGUUAUAAAUAAGCUUUCCUGCUUAUAUCAGGACACCUUCAUCCUAUUAUUGUAUUAUAGCAUAGUACAAUUAUAUUUGGUCACAAUACUGACAAUGAGUCAUCCACAGCAUCAUCACCCAGCAUUUAUUGAUGUCUACUGUAAAGUAGAGUUGGAUGGCACCAUUUCUGCUCUCAAACAGUUUAAAAGAUCCCUGUGCAGAAAAAGACGUAUUUAGAACAUUUUGGUUGGUAAGGUGAUAUGUAACAAACUUGAGAUCUUAUAGGAUAGGAGAACACUAGGACACUAAUUAGGAACUGGUCCCAGGAACAAAGACCUUCUGGACUCAUCUGACAAGAUAAGAAUCAUCAAGCAUUCUUCCAGCAGAAAGUGACAAAGCCCUCCUUGAGCUGCUCAUGAGAAUUCACAAAUUUUUCAGAUAAAAGAUGCCUAUUUUAUUCUGGCUGAAAGCAUGAACAGAAUAAACAAUGAGCUCUGUGAAGAAUGUUCUAUGAACCCGAAUCAAACUCAAACUCCUGUGUCACUCCGGUACGCCUGAUCACUGGAUAUAACCACGUAUUGGUCCAGAACCUCCCUCUCUGUUACUACUCCCUUUGGAUUUAUCCAGUAGUCUUAGACGUCACCAGGGCCAAGCCAUGCAUAUAUAGAUUGAAAUGUUGUUUUCAAAACCUACUCAAGCUAUCUCUUGAUGAACAAGAUUAGUACCAUCUGAUUACAACCCUGAAGGCAUGUAUAGGCAAAAAGGAAAGUCCAAAGAGAGGAAAAGAAAGCAGGAGAGAUCUGAAAUGACACAAGAAGUGACUCAGAAUGGGAAGAUUGUGCACUCCUUGUUGUCCCCUAAUGCACAUGGAAGUAUGCAACAGAAGCUGUGAAAAUAACCCAGAGAGAAAGAAAAAAAUGAUGUAAAUUUAAACAUAGCAUAUUCUGGAAACAGUAUGCUUAUGGAACAGCCAGAGAGAUUUUCAAAACUUGAUCAUCUAAAUGCAGAGAACAGUUUCAAGGCUCUUUCUCACUUUCUCAUUUGAUUCCUGCAAUUGAAGCCAUCUGCUAUGCUGUGUCCUGUUCUUUGGAUCAGCACAUAUGACAAGGAAGUGAAAGUAGUCUCUGUCCAACAAUCAGUCUAACAGCCUGAGAAGAACUGAAUUCUGUCAAUGACCACGUAAGCUUCGAAGCAGACCUUUCGCUUGUUGAGCCUUCAGAUAGACAGCAGCCCUAGCUGACAUCUUAACUGCAGUCUUGUGACAGGUCCUCAGACAGGAUAAGCCAAAUUAUACCCAGACUGCUGAUCCACAGAAAAUGAGAGGAAACUCCAGGAUUCUAAAAGUAAAGCCCUAUGGAAAUAAAUCAAUAACAUUUCAAAUGAAGAACCAAAAUCGGGAAAUGCAAAUCACAACUCUAACAUCAACAUUAACUUAUAGCCAGACAAUUAUGCAUUUCUUUAGUCAACAACUAGCUGCUAAUUAUUUACUAUGUGUCAAGUCUUAUAAUGCUGAAGUGAAGAAAAGAGAUUUAAAGUCAUGGAUGUGGUUUCCUUUGGACCUUAAAUUCUAGCACAAAAUAUGAUAAACAUUGUAAUCAAUGCUAUCAUGUACAGGUAUGUGGUGUUAUGUGAAUAUAUGGGAAUACCUAAUUCGUAAACUGGGUUUAGAAAAUUCUUGCAGAAGAAAGUGGCAUCCAAACAAAGAACCAAGAACGAAUAAAAAUUAUUAUAGAUAAAGUGAAGCGGGUCUAGUGGAAUGACAAAAUUACUGAGUGUCAAGAGGUGGAAGGACUUGGUGAAUAAUUUGAAAAGGAACCAUCGGAGGAUGAUGGCCACAUUUCUGGCUCCAGCCAUCAGUAUGAACUUAUGGUUGAAGGCAUUCUCAGGGGUUAACAAGAAUUCUGGACAGAAAUAUGGCUAUAAGUAAGUAUUAAUCAGGCUGCACUUUGACCCACUUCCUUGUAACUGAAAGUCACUAGAUCCUGAAUAUUUGUAUCCCCAUUCCCACUGUUCUUAUAGAUAGAAUCUCUGACAUCAGAAUCAUAAGGCUUUUCUUUAAGAAUUGCUUAAAGAUGUUCUUCGGAUCCCCAAUUCCAGUGAAACAGCUGAUGACAACCAUUUUGAAGACCCCCACAGAGGAACAGAAUCAACAUGAGAUGGUUUCUUCCUCUCCCCAUCCUAUGACUUCCCCCUGUACUCUUCCACCAAUUAACAAUCUCCACACUUUGACCCACUCCAAAACCCUUAAAAACCCAGCCCCAAACUACCUGGGGAGAUGGAUUUGAGGUUCCUUCCCAUCUUCUCCUUCGAUGGCCCAACCAUUAAACCUCUUUCUCUGCUGUAACCUCGUGUCUCAGCAUAUUGACUUUUUGCACAUAUUGGGCAAAAAAAACCUAUUAUGGUUACUUGAUUGUGAUAACAUCAAAAGUACACUGAAUUUGGAGUCAGGAGACCUGAAUUCUAAUCCUAGCUUUGACAUUAAUUAGCUACGUGGAUAUAGGUAACUCACUUCACUUCUGAAGGCCUCAAAGCCCUCCAAGGAUUUUGAGAUAGGCAAUUUUUCCCUCAACUUAGCAUUAUCAUUUCAUGGUUUUAUGAUGCAACUUUUACAGCAUCACAAUGUUCCAUUAAUAAAAUUAUAUUGGUUUUUCCAUAUUUUUAAAUCUAAACCUUCAAAUAACUAUUUGUUUUCAUUUUUUUCUGGUGUGUUGCCUUUGUCUUUCCCCUUUAUUCUUUCAUGUUUUGCUUACCUAAGGAAAAGCUUACAAGAAGGAGCUGUGUCAACAGUAGUUGGUAUGGAUCCACACUAACUUUUAUUUGGGGUUUUAACUAAGAGAACUUAAUGUAUGACUUAUUGUAAAAUUAUAAAAAUCAAAUCAAGUUUUAUAACAACAGCCAUAGAAUGGUCUUUUUUUUUGCAAAACCAAAGAUACAUAUACAUAAAUGAAUAUGAUUUAUGUAGAAAAUGAUAUUAAAGGAUACAUACAAAAUUAUUGAGAAGCAAUUAGCCCUGGAAGAGAAAAAUCUGAGCUAGAGGGGUAGUGAGGCUAAAAUUUGUACUAUAAACUGUCCUAUAUUAUUUAAUUUGGUAUAACAAGAGUGUAUUAUUCUUAUAAUAGGAAUAUUACUUUAAACAUUUUUAUUAACUGAUAUUUAUUUUAUGUAUAUAAGGUUUUUUUUCAAUGUGGCUUUGUAAUCUACCACAUACUGGACUUAAAGUUAUAAACAGGAGAGAUGACUGAAGUGGAGGAAGGUUCAUUAGCCUCACACAGGAAAUGCCUUGAAGUAGACCGUGGGUGAAUCUGUUUAAGCUGUGACCCAAGCAGAAAUACUUUCUUCUCAAAGUGAUUUGAAACUAUUAUUCUCAUUGAAUCUAUGAUAAGAAAACUAAUUAUGAUAACAGACAUACGGUUGGAAGAGGAAACACAGGUAGAGCUGUCUUUACAUUAGAGAAAGAACUGAGAGAGCUAGGCAAAAGCCAUCAUUGGGGGUAACAGAACACAGCAGGGGGAAGCAUUCUGCAGAGCAUAUUGGAACAAAGCAAGUCUCUCCAAAAAAAUCUAAAGAAAAUAUUUUCAGAAAGUGCACAAGGCAAAGACUAAUGGCUCCCUGCAGAUAUUCAUAAGGAUAUAAGAAAGAAGAGGCUUUCCAAGAAAAUAUAACAUAUUUCAACAACAACAAAAGACUGGGCUAGAUUUGAGACACACUAAGAGUCAUUAACAACUAGAAGUUCUUAUCAUAACACUAUCUAUACUGUUUACAAUUGUGUCACUUUAUGCUUAUAUAAAGUAUAAAGAGACCACUUUACAGAAUAUGGGUUCAGUCAUUGUCAGGGUAUCAGAGUAUCUUUUGUUUUCCUUUAUUAUAUUGUAAGGACAACAUAAAGUAACCCAAAGAGAAAGGAGAGAACAGCUUAACCUCUCUAAACACUGCACAUUUUGGAAGUCUAAUCCCCUCUCCCUGUCCCAAAUCCUCUCAUUAUAUCUAAGCCCAGUGGAAGUAUGCUGGUCCUCACAGGCUGGCAGUUUUCUCAACCUGCAAUUAGAGUGUUUAGCUCUUUUUGCCAGCUACAGCUUUAGUCAUCAAUUCCAGGAAACCCUGACACCAAUUCACUGAAUAUCUAAACAUACAUUACCUACUUGAUCAUCUAUAUUCCCAGAUGCAAUGAACAUAUUUUCUUGUUAUCUUUUUAAGUCUUCUAAGUUAUAUUGUGCACAAUUUAAAUACACUUGCCUUAGUUUCUGAGACAGCCGUUUCUCGGUUUUCUAUCUUUCCCAGUUAUUUCUUGCCAAUCUCCUUUGUUAGCUCCUCCUCUUCAACAUGAAUUCUAAAUGUGUUUGCUUCUAUAUCAUAUUUUCUGCUCUAAUAUACCCUGUCUAUAUGUUAUUACAUCCUAAGAAAAAAACAAUUCCUAUCAUAGGUCAAACUUAUGCUCUAAAUUCCAAAAUCAUAUACCCAAUGGCUGAUAUAAUAUAACUAUGAAAUGAGCAAAUUCAAUAUCUAAAGGCCACUAAAUUGGAAUGAGACUUCUACCCGAAACAGAUUCCUCCAAGUCUUCCUUAAAUCCAUAAGUUACUUUCACACACACACAAUGCCCCAAAACAAGAAACCCCAAAGCCACAUUUGUUUCCCAAUUUCCUUCAAUCCCACAUUCAUUCCCAGCAAUUUCAGUCAAUUUUACCUCUAAAAUAUGUUUUGAAUUUGUUUACCUCUUCUGCAAUUCUCUAGUGCAUUACUAAUAUAAAUACAAUGCAAGCAACAUAUGUAAUUUUUAACUUGCUAGUAGUCAUAUUAAAAAUAAUUUGUGUAAGUCAA
This 4922-nucleotide long non-coding RNA is filed under the name Homo sapiens (human). RNAcentral's name for it is "HSALNT0358275". Lineage: Eukaryota; Metazoa; Chordata; Mammalia; Primates; Hominidae. The record is from RNAcentral.